AUGGCAGCGUCUCUCCAAGCCGCGGCCACGCUGAUGCCGGCCAAGAUCGGCGGCCGGGCCUCCUCCGCGCGGCCGUCGUCGCACGUCGCCCGGGCGUUCGGCGUUGACGCUGGCGCCAGGAUCACCUGCUCCCUGCAGUCCGACAUCAGGGAGGUCGCAAGCAAGUGCGCCGACGCCGCCAAGAUGGCCGGCUUCGCCCUCGCCACCUCUGCCCUCCUCGUCUCCGCGUGGGUGCAGGGCGCGAGCGCGGAGGGGGCGCCCAAGAGGCUGACCUUCGACGAGAUCCAGAGCAAGACCUACAUGGAGGUGAAGGGUACCGGCACCGCGAACCAGUGCCCGACCAUCGACGGCGGCGUCGACUCCUUCCCCUUCAAGGCCGGCAAGUACGAGAUGAAGAAGUUCUGCCUGGAGCCCACCUCCUUCACCGUCAAGGCCGAGGGCAUCCAGAAGAACGAGCCGCCGGCCUUCCAGAAAACCAAGCUCAUGACCCGUCUCACCUACACCCUUGACGAGAUGGAAGGCCCGCUCGAGGUCGGCGCCGACGGCACCCUCAAGUUCGAGGAGAAGGACGGCAUCGACUACGCGGCCGUCACCGUGCAGCUCCCCGGAGGCGAGCGAGUGCCCUUCCUCUUCACCGUCAAGCAGCUCGUCGCUACCGGCAAGCCCGAGAGCUUCAGCGGGCCCUUCCUCGUGCCCAGCUACAGGGGUUCGUCUUUCCUCGACCCAAAGGGCCGUGGUGGCUCUACUGGCUACGACAACGCCGUGGCGCUACCCGCCGGAGGCAGAGGAGACGAGGAGGAGUUGGCUAAGGAGAACGUGAAGAACGCGUCCUCGUCCACGGGCAACAUCACGCUCAGCGUGACCAAGAGCAAGCCGGAGACCGGCGAGGUGAUCGGUGUCUUCGAGAGCGUGCAGCCGUCAGACACCGACCUCGGCGCCAAGGCGCCCAAGGAUGUCAAGAUCCAGGGUGUGUGGUACGCGCAGCUCGAGUCUAACUAG
This 999-nucleotide ribosomal RNA is filed under the name Triticum aestivum (bread wheat). RNAcentral describes it as "partial small subunit ribosomal RNA". Lineage: Eukaryota; Viridiplantae; Streptophyta; Magnoliopsida; Poales; Poaceae. The record is from RNAcentral.